AAGACCUUGCACUUUUGGAGCGGCCGAUGUCUGAUUAGCUAGUUGGUGGGGUAAUGGCCUACCAAAGCUUCGAUCAGUAGCUGGUCUGAGAGGACGGCCAGCCACACUGGGACUGAGACACGGCCCAGACUCCUACGGGAGGCAGCAGUGGGGAAUUUUGGACAAUGGGCGCAAGCCUGAUCCAGCCAUGCCGCGUGAGUGAAGAAGGCCUUCGGGUUGUAAAGCUCUUUCKGCCGGGAAGAAAAGGUUGCGACUAAUAAUCGCAAUCCAUGACGGUACCGAAAGAAGAAGCACCGGCUAACUACGUGCCASCAGCCGCGGUAAUACGUAGGGUGCGAGCGUUAAUCGGAAUUACUGGGCGUAAAGGGUGCGCAGGCGGUUUUGUAAGUCAGAUGUGAAAUCCCCGGGCUUAACCUGGGAACU
This 423-nucleotide ribosomal RNA is filed under the name uncultured bacterium. RNAcentral's name for it is "bacterial SSU rRNA". It matches the Rfam family "Bacterial small subunit ribosomal RNA", at positions 207 to 622 of the family's 1533-position model. The record is from RNAcentral.